RNAcentral lists this ribosomal RNA (506 nucleotides) under uncultured bacterium. RNAcentral describes it as "partial 16S ribosomal RNA". It matches the Rfam family "Bacterial small subunit ribosomal RNA", at positions 28 to 523 of the family's 1533-position model. The record is from RNAcentral.
GAUGAACGCUAGCGGCAGGCUUAAUACAUGCAAGUCGUGGGGCAGCAGGUCUGUAGCAAUACAGAUGCUGGCGACCGGCAAACGGGUGCGGAACACGUACACAACUUUCCUUUAAGUGGGGAAUAGCCCAGAGAAAUUUGGAUUAAUACCCCGUAACAUAGUGAAAAGGCAUCUUUUUAUUAUUAUAGCAGCAAUGCGCUUAAUGAUGGGUGUGCGUCUGAUUAGGUAGUUGGCGGAGUAAUAGCCCACCAAGCCUACGAUCAGUAACUGGUGUGAGAGCACGACCAGUCACACGGGCACUGAGACACGGGCCCGACUCCUACGGGAGGCAGCAGUAAGGAAUAUUGGGCAAUGGACGCAAGUCUGACCCAGCCAUGCCGCGUGGAGGAUGAAGGUCCUCUGGAUUGUAAACUUCUUUUAUCUGGGAAGAAAUCCAUCUUUUCUUGGGUGGUUGACGGUACCAGAUGAAUAAGCACCGGCUAACUCCGUGCCAGCAGCCGCGGUAA